RNAcentral lists this ribosomal RNA (206 nucleotides) under uncultured bacterium. RNAcentral's name for it is "partial 16S ribosomal RNA". It matches the Rfam family "Bacterial small subunit ribosomal RNA", at positions 1296 to 1500 of the family's 1533-position model. The record is from RNAcentral.
GAUUGUAGUCUGCAACUCGACUACAUGAAGCUGGAAUCGCUAGUAAUCGCGAAUCAGAAUGUCGCGGUGAAUACGUUCCCGGGUCUUGUACACACCGCCCGUCACACCAUGGGAGUCAGUAACGCCCGAAGUCAGUGACCCAACCAAUCAGGAGGGAGCUGCCGAAGGUGGGACCGAUAACUGGGGUGAAGUCGUAACAAGGUACC